AUUUUUUGUUACAGGUUGUUUCAGAUUUUAUUAUAUUACACAAGUCAUUUCUGUACUAGUGAGGCAUAAUAAAGCAUGUUCAUUAACCUCUGAGGAGCCUGUCUGGAUUUGUCUCAAAGCCGGGCUG
Long non-coding RNA from Etheostoma cragini (Arkansas darter), 127 nucleotides. RefSeq lists it as uncharacterized. The transcript has 3 exons. The record is from RefSeq and is a predicted model, not a curated record. Lineage: Eukaryota; Metazoa; Chordata; Actinopteri; Perciformes; Percidae.